CGGCCCAGACUCCUACGGGAGGCAGCAGUAGGGAAUCUUCGGCAAUGGGGGCAACCCUGACCGAGCAACGCCGCGUGAGUGAAGAAGGUUUUCGGAUCGUAAAGCUCUGUUGUAAGAGAAGAACGUUGAUGAGAGUGGAAAGUUCAUCAAGUGACGGUAUCUUACCAGAAAGGGACGGCUAACUACGUGCCAGCAGCCGCGGUAAUACGUAGGUCCCGAGCGUUGUCCGGAUUUAUUGGGCGUAAAGCGAGCGCAGGCGGUUUAAUAAGUCUGAAGUUAAAGGCAGUGGCUCAACCAUUGUUCGCUUUGGAAACUGUUAAACUUGAGUGCAGAAGGGGAGAGUGGAAUUCCAUGUGUAGCGGUGAAAUGCGUAGAUAUAUGGAGGAACACCGGUGGCGAAAGCGGCUCUC
RNAcentral lists this ribosomal RNA (410 nucleotides) under Streptococcus gallolyticus subsp. gallolyticus. RNAcentral's name for it is "bacterial SSU rRNA". It matches the Rfam family "Bacterial small subunit ribosomal RNA", at positions 327 to 729 of the family's 1533-position model. The record is from RNAcentral. Lineage: Bacteria; Bacillati; Bacillota; Bacilli; Lactobacillales; Streptococcaceae.